This 484-nucleotide ribosomal RNA is filed under the name uncultured bacterium. RNAcentral describes it as "partial 16S ribosomal RNA". It matches the Rfam family "Bacterial small subunit ribosomal RNA", at positions 30 to 507 of the family's 1533-position model. The record is from RNAcentral.
AUUGAACGCUGGCGGCAUGCUUUACACAUGCAAGUCGAACGGCAGCGCGGGCUUCGGCCUGGCGGCGAGUGGCGAACGGGUGAGUAAUACAUCUGAACGUGCCCAGUAGUGGGGGAUAGCUCGGCGAAAGCCGGAUUAAUACCGCAUACGACCUGAGGGUGAAAGCGGGGGAUCUUCGGACCUCGCGCUAUUUGAGCGGCCGAUGGCAGAUUAGCUAGUUGGUGGGGUAAAGGCCUACCAAGGCGACGAUCUGUAGCUGGUCUGAGAGGACGACCAGCCACACUGGGACUGAGACACGGCCCAGACUCCUACGGGAGGCAGCAGUGGGGAAUUUUGGACAAUGGGCGAAAGCCUGAUCCAGCAAUGCCGCGUGUGUGAUGAAGGCCUUCGGGUUGUAAAGCACUUUUGGCGGGAACGAAAAGGACUGUGCCAAUACCACGGUUCGAUGACGGUACCCGCAGAAUAAGCACCGGCUAACUACGUG